Arachis ipaensis is the source of this 148-nucleotide non-coding RNA. The record is from RefSeq and is a predicted model, not a curated record. Lineage: Eukaryota; Viridiplantae; Streptophyta; Magnoliopsida; Fabales; Fabaceae.
UGACGACCUGGGGACGGCGGCGGCGCUGACGACCUGGGAACGGCGGCGACAAUGGAGGGCUAGGGUUCCUCCGCUUCAGAGUCCUCCAAUCUCCAGUACAGGGAGUAUAGUGACAAAUGAUUAAAUGAAAUCAUGAAUGAAUGAUUUU